Molecule: long non-coding RNA, 966 nt
Organism: Panicum virgatum (switchgrass)
Lineage: Eukaryota; Viridiplantae; Streptophyta; Magnoliopsida; Poales; Poaceae
Exons: 3
Source: RefSeq, a predicted model, not a curated record
UCUCGCUGUGUGUACAAGUAGUAUAUGUUUAACAGUUUAAGGCCCAUUUGCAAGUUUCGCAUAUUAAAAAGGAAUCACUAAUGUAAGGAACGCAUCAACUAUGUUCAUAGUGAGCCCCCUUUUUUAUCGGAAAGAGUAUGAUGAUUCUGGUCGGCCAUAGAGCAUGAACUCUCUCCCGUCUCCCCACCAAGCCUUUUUGACUUGGGGGAUGAGAAUUGUUAUUCAGUUUCGCAGAGCUGCUGCUCCCAAUUCACUCUGAACUAGUACUCCCGAUCGAGCCUGUAAGCCGACCAGCUUGAUCACAUGGAGUAUCUCUCCAUCUCUGUUGUAACCUGAAGGCGAGUUAAUCUGCUCCAAGAAACCAAUACUCGCUAUUGAGCCUACGGCAGGUGGUUGCAUACACAUCUGGUUUUGCUGGUGUCCUAGCAAAGCUAUCACUCAAUUCUGCCACCGGUCGGUCACAAGCACCAAGAGCUAAGGCAGCAACGAGUCUUGCCGAUGUGCACAGGAUCAGUGAUGGAAGUGUACAAUGAGGGCAGGAGCAUCUGAUUUGCAUCACAAGCCUGGGCCCUCUUUACGACGUGUAUGUCUCUCUCUCUCUUGUUUACGGUUACGUUAAGAAACAUCUGCAAGUUUUAUAAAUAUGACAUUAGUGUUGCAAAAUGAUCGAGCAGCAAAACCUACCACUGGUUUAUUUGUACACUUCGGUGUCCACAGGAUCUCCAAGCCUCAGUCUUACUUGGUUUUGUGGUUUUCGGAACUUGCUAGUAUGGUUCAUUUCAGCAAUUCUUUACGGAGACAAGAGUUGGACACUUCUCAGGGGCAGAACAUACUUGGAAGUCGAGAGAGAAGCUUCCCAUCUCGAUCCCUUGCGCAUUUGAGGCUGGGCAGCACCCGGGGACAGAGUUGAGUGAAUGAGUUCACUUCCUGCUCCGAGGAAGGAAUCGAAAUCAUCAGCAGCCUCCU